AGGACGAACGCUGGCGGCGUGCUUAACACAUGCAAGUCGAGCGGAAAGGCCCUUCGGGGUACUCGAGCGGCGAACGGGUGAGUAACACGUGAGCAACCUGCCCUUAGCUCUGGGAUAGCUCCGGGAAACCGGAAUUAAUACCGGAUACGACCUAGGCCGACAUCGGCCAUGGUGGAAAGUUUUUCGGCUAGGGAUGGACUCGCGGCCUAUCAGCUAGUUGGUGGGGUAAAGGCCUACCAAGGCGACGACGGGUAGCCGGCCUGAGAGGGCGACCGGCCACACUGGGACUGAGACACGGCCCAGACUCCUACGGGAGGCAGCAGUGGGGAAUCUUGCGCAAUGGGCGAAAGCCUGACGCAGCGACGCCGCGUGGGGGAUGAAGGCCUUCGGGUUGUAAACCCCUUUCAGCAGGGACGAAGCGAAAGUGACGGUACCUGCAGAAGAAGCGCCGGCUAACUACGCGCCGAGCAGCCGC
Molecule: ribosomal RNA, 475 nt
Filed under: uncultured bacterium
Lineage: Bacteria
Description: SSU rRNA
Rfam family: Bacterial small subunit ribosomal RNA
Source: RNAcentral